This is an RNA transcript of Phoenix dactylifera (date palm), 1834 nucleotides long. It is a transcript of the gene named myb-like transcription factor family protein, with no coding region annotated. The record is from RefSeq and is a predicted model, not a curated record. Lineage: Eukaryota; Viridiplantae; Streptophyta; Magnoliopsida; Arecales; Arecaceae.
CUGCCUUCGGAAUCCUUUUAGCGGUAAUCGGGGUCCUCCUUCUUUAUUUGGGAUCGAGAGGUCCUUUCUUCCCGAGCUCCGUCAAAACGAUUCAGAGCGAACUCUAACCCUAAAAGGCUCCUUAAACCCUAAUCCAUGGAUGCGAAGGAUAUCCUCGGUCUCCCGAAGAAUUCUUUUCCGGCAGCCCAGGAGAAGAAGCCUCGCCCCCCGAAGGAUUCCCAAAGGAAGCCCGAUGGCGUCUCCCGAGAGGUUUACGCUCUUACGGGAGGAAUGGCGCCUCUCAUGCCCUCCAUCGAGGUCUCACACUUGAAGAAGCGGCCCAAUUCGGAGAAAGAGAAGAUCACAUGGCAGUGGCUUUCAUUUACAUCAUCUGCAAGAACAGAUAACUUGCAACUUUAUCAUUGGGUCAGGGUUGUAAAUGGUGUUCCACCAACUGGUGAUUACUCAUUUGCUAAGUACAACAAGUCUGUGGACAUUCUUAGGUAUACGGAUGAGGAAUAUGAAAAGCACUUGAUUGAUCCUAUGUGGACUAAGGAAGAAACAGAUCAGUUAUUUGAUCUCUGCGAAAGAUUUGAUCUUCGCUUCAUAGUGAUAGCUGAUAGGUUUCCAUCAUCUCGGAGUGUGGAGGAACUUAAGAGUCGCUAUUAUUCCGUGAACCGGGCACUUUUAAUUGCUAGAGCACCCUCUCCUUCUGAUGUUUCUGGACAUCCACUAGUUAAGGAACCUUACAACAUGGUUCAUGAGAUUGAAAGGAAACGUGCGUUGUCUGCUGUGCUCUCUCAAACAAAACAGCAGGAGCGCAGAGAUGCUGAGAUCCUUGCCGAAGCUAAACGUAUAAUGGAGUCACGCAUGGCUAGUAAAAGUGCUGAAGAUGCCGAGAUGCCAGUUAACCCAACUGGUAACGAAACUGAGAAGGCUACUGCACCUGCUGAAUCUGUAUCACCAUCUACUAACAUCCAUCCAUCGUCUUCAACUGCUGCACCCGCGACAGCCACAACAGAGAGUGCUUCAACUCCAGCUUCACUCCGGAUGCUUCGCGUAUACUUGAGAACCCAUGUACUUGACCAAAUGGUGCAAGCAGCAAGCUCAACUGCUGGUCUCAGGACUAUCAAAAGGGUUGACCAGACUUUACAAGAUCUUGGGGUUCAUGUGAAACCGAAGGUCCCAACAAAAGCAGUUUGUGCAGAACAUCUUGAAUUGCGAAAAGAAAUACUUACAUUGCUCAACCUACAGAAACAGCUCCAAAAUAAAGAGGCAGAAGCUUCGGCAAAUCGUGAUAGUUCAUAUGCUGAAGCACCAAGCACUCCUAAGCGUUCUUACCGCGCGGACGUUGACCGGCCAUUCGUCCCUGAUUCUGUUGGUUUUGGAGGUGAGAGAGCGGCUAAAAGGGACCACAAACGCAAGGCACCUGGAAGAUUUAUUGAUGCACCACCAUCGCCACCGCAAUCCAAGAGGCCCCGGAAGUUGAAGGCUUCUGAUUGAUGACGUCAAGAGAUGUGUCUGCACUCUCAUCUUCACAACAAUCCCAUGGUCUAGGAUAAAAAGCUGAAAGAAGCAGCAUCGGUCUAAAAAGUAGCCAAGUGCUGACAACUCCCAGCUGGUUUCUUCCUUUGAGGACCCUUGGGUUGCAUAUCCACCUACAGCUCUUGCAAUUCUCGUGCAUCAGAUUGUAGCAUACUGAACGUCUUCCGUUUGCUGGGUGCAAAAAUUGGCGAAGAAAGUUUCAGGGAUCCUUUUUCAUGUUUACGCCUCUCUCUCUAUAUAUAUCUGAAAGAUAAAAUAUAUCUGGUGGUUUCUUCACAGUUCCUUUUAACUAGAAUACGUUAUUGCGGUA